Transfer RNA from Serendipita vermifera MAFF 305830, 73 nucleotides. It matches the Rfam family "tRNA". From Rfam's summary of the family: Transfer RNA (tRNA) molecules are approximately 80 nucleotides in length. The record is from Rfam. Lineage: Eukaryota; Fungi; Basidiomycota; Agaricomycetes; Sebacinales; Serendipitaceae.
GACAUUAUAGCAAAGUGGUUAAUGCGGGGCACUGUUAAUGCUUUUCUCGAAGGUUCGAAUCCUUCUAAUGUCU